Molecule: ribosomal RNA, 659 nt
Filed under: Lactifluus sp. K15060710
Lineage: Eukaryota; Fungi; Basidiomycota; Agaricomycetes; Russulales; Russulaceae
Description: eukaryotic LSU rRNA
Rfam family: Eukaryotic large subunit ribosomal RNA
Source: RNAcentral
AGUAACUGCGAGUGAAGCGGGAAAAGCUCAAAUUUAAAAUCUGGCGGUCUUUGGCUGUCCGAGUUGUAAUUUAGAGAAGUGCCUUCCGCGCCAGACCAUGCAAAAGUCUCCUGGAAUGGAGCGUCAUAGAGGGUGAGAAUCCCGUCUUUGGCAUGGAUGCUUGGUGCUUCUGUGAUGCGCUCUCGAAGAGUCGAGUUGUUUGGGAAUGCAGCUCAAAAUGGGUGGUGAACUCCAUCUAAAGCUAAAUAUUGGCGAGAGACCGAUAGCGAACAAGUACCGUGAGGGAAAGAUGAAAAGCACUUUGGAAAGAGAGUGAAACAGUACGUGAAAUUGUUGAAAGGGAAACGCUUGAAGUCAGUCGCGUCGACCAAGACUCAGCCUUGCCUCGGCUUGGUGUUCUUCUUGGCUGACGGGCCAGCAUCAAUUUCUUCCCUCGGAUAAUGGCGAGAGAAAGGUGGCACCCUUACGGGUGUGUUAUAGUCUCUUGUCGCAUGCGAGGGAUGGGAUUGAGGAACUCAGCACGCGCCUUUAGGUGUCGGGGCUUCGGCCCACGUUACGUGCUUAGGAUGUUGGCGUAAUGGCUUUAAACGACCCGUCUUGAAACACGGACCAAGGAGUCUAACAUGCCCGCGAGUGUUCGGGUGGAAAACCCGUGCGCG